GCGCUGGUGGGGUAAGGCGAACAUCGCUGCUCGGAAAGCAGAAGAUGCGGGUUCGAGUCCCGCCCGGCACA
Molecule: non-coding RNA, 71 nt
Organism: Heligmosomoides polygyrus
Lineage: Eukaryota; Metazoa; Nematoda; Chromadorea; Rhabditida; Heligmosomidae
Source: Rfam